UACGAAGGGGGCUAGCGUUGCUCGGAAUCACUGGGCGUAAAGCGCACGUAGGCGGCUUUUUAAGUCAGGGGUGAAAUCCUGGAGCUCAACUCCAGAACUGCCUUUGAUACUGAGAGGCUUGAGUCCGGGAGAGGUGAGUGGAACUGCGAGCGUAGAGGUGAAAUUCGUAGAUAUUCGCAAGAACACCAGUGGCGAAGGCGGCUCACUGGCCCGGUACUGACGCUGAGGUGCGAAAGCGUGGGGAGCAAACAGG
RNAcentral lists this ribosomal RNA (253 nucleotides) under uncultured bacterium. RNAcentral describes it as "partial 16S ribosomal RNA". It matches the Rfam family "Bacterial small subunit ribosomal RNA", at positions 524 to 776 of the family's 1533-position model. The record is from RNAcentral.